RNAcentral lists this ribosomal RNA (492 nucleotides) under uncultured bacterium. RNAcentral's name for it is "partial 16S ribosomal RNA". It matches the Rfam family "Bacterial small subunit ribosomal RNA", at positions 29 to 507 of the family's 1533-position model. The record is from RNAcentral.
AGUGAACGCUGGCGGUAGGCCUAACACAUGCAAGUCGAACGGCAGCACAGUAAGAGCUUGCUCUUACGGGUGGCGAGUGGCGGACGUGUGAGGAAUACAUCGGAAUCUACUUUUUCGUGGGGGAUAACGUAGGGAAACUUACGCUAAUACCGCAUACGACCUACGGGUUAAAGCAGGGGAUCUUCGGACCUUGCGCGUUUGAAUGAGCCGAUGUCGGAUUAGCUAGUUGGCGGGGUAAAGGCCCACCCAGGCGACGAUCCGUAGCUGGUCUGAGAGGAUGAUCAGCCACACUGGAACUGAGACACGGUCCAGACUCCUACGGGAGGCAGCAGUGGGGAAUAUUGGACAAUGGGCGCAAGCCUGAUCCAGCCAUACCGCGUGGGUGAAGAAGGCCUUCGGGUUGUAAAGCCCUUUUGUUGGGAAAGAAAAGCAGCAGGUUAAUACCCCGCUGUUAUGACGGUACCCAAAGAAUAAGCACCGGCUAACUUCGUG